Molecule: ribosomal RNA, 549 nt
Filed under: Escherichia coli
Lineage: Bacteria; Pseudomonadati; Pseudomonadota; Gammaproteobacteria; Enterobacterales; Enterobacteriaceae
Description: partial 23S ribosomal RNA
Rfam family: Bacterial large subunit ribosomal RNA
Source: RNAcentral
GGUUAAGCGACUAAGCGUACACGGUGGAUGCCCUGGCAGUCAGAGGCGAUGAAGGACGUGCUAAUCUGCGAUAAGCGUCGGUAAGGUGAUAUGAACCGUUAUAACCGACGAUUUCCGAAUGGGGAAACCCAGUGUGUUUCGACACACUAUCAUUAACUGAAUCCAUAGGUUAAUGAGGCGAACCGGGGGAACUGAAACAUCUAAGUACCCCGAGGAAAAGAAAUCAACCGAGAUUCCCCCAGUAGCGGCGAGCGAACGGGGAGCAGCCCAGAGCCUGAAUCAGUGUGUGUGUUAGUGGAAGCGUCUGGAAAGGCGCGCGAUACAGGGUGACAGCCCCGUACACAAAAAUACACAUACUGUGAGCUCGAUGAGUAGGGCGGGACACGUGGUAUCCUGUCUGAAUAUGGGGGGACCAUCCUCCAAGGCUAAAUACUCCUGACUGACCGAUAGUGAACCAGUACCGUGAGGGAAAGGCGAAAAGAACCCCGGCGAGGGGAGUGAAAAAGAACCUGAAACCGUGUACGUACAAGCAGUGGGAGCACGCUUAGG